This 754-nucleotide ribosomal RNA is filed under the name Bacillus thuringiensis. RNAcentral describes it as "bacterial SSU rRNA". It matches the Rfam family "Bacterial small subunit ribosomal RNA", at positions 74 to 817 of the family's 1533-position model. The record is from RNAcentral. Lineage: Bacteria; Bacillati; Bacillota; Bacilli; Caryophanales; Bacillaceae.
GCUUGCUCUCAAGAAGUUAGCGGCGGACGGGUGAGUAACACGUGGGUAACCUGCCCAUAAGACUGGGAUAACUCCGGGAAACCGGGGCUAAUACCGGAUAAYAUUUUGAACUGCAUGGUUCGAAAUUGAAAGGCGGCUUCGGCUGUCACUUAUGGAUGGACCCGCGUCGCAUUAGCUAGUUGGUGAGGUAACGGCUCACCAAGGCAACGAUGCGUAGCCGACCUGAGAGGGUGAUCGGCCACACUGGGACUGAGACACGGCCCAGACUCCUACGGGAGGCAGCAGUAGGGAAUCUUCCGCAAUGGACGAAAGUCUGACGGAGCAACGCCGCGUGAGUGAUGAAGGCUUUCGGGUCGUAAAACUCUGUUGUUAGGGAAGAACAAGUGCUAGUUGAAUAAGCUGGCACCUUGACGGUACCUAACCAGAAAGCCACGGCUAACUACGUGCCAGCAGCCGCGGUAAUACGUAGGUGGCAAGCGUUAUCCGGAAUUAUUGGGCGUAAAGCGCGCGCAGGUGGUUUCUUAAGUCUGAUGUGAAAGCCCACGGCUCAACCGUGGAGGGUCAUUGGAAACUGGGAGACUUGAGUGCAGAAGAGGAAAGUGGAAUUCCAUGUGUAGCGGUGAAAUGCGUAGAGAUAUGGAGGAACACCAGUGGCGAAGGCGACUUUCUGGUCUGUAACUGACACUGAGGCGCGAAAGCGUGGGGAGCAACAGGAUAGAUACCCUGGUAGUCCACGCCGUAAACGAUGAGUGCU